GCGGCUUCCCCGGGCGCCGCCAUCUUUGCUCCCGGUGCCCCGGCCCGGCUCCAGCAUGUCCGAGACCUACGAUUUCCUCUUCAAGUUCCUGGUGAUCGGCAGCGCCGGCACCGGCAAGUCCUGCCUGCUGCACCACUUCAUCGAGAGCAAGUUCAAGCAGGAUUCCAACCACACCAUCGGGGUGGAAUUCGGCUCCAAGGUCGUCAACGUGGGCGGGAAAACGGUGAAACUUCAGAUCUGGGACACGGCCGGCCAGGAGCGCUUCAGAUCGGUGACCCGCAGUUACUACCGGGGGGCCGCGGGGGCGCUGCUCGUCUAUGACAUCACCAGCCGGGAGACGUACAACGCGCUGGCGCAGUGGCUGACGGACGCCCGCACCUUGGCCAGCCCCAACAUCGUCAUCAUCCUCUGCGGCAACAAGAAGGACCUGGAGGGCGAGCGGGAGGUGACGUUCCUGGAGGCCUCGCGCUUCGCCCAGGAAAACGAGUUGAUGUUCCUGGAGACGAGCGCGCUGACGGGCGAGAACGUGGAGGAGGCGUUCCUCAAGUGCGCCCGCACCAUCCUCAACAAGAUCGAAUCCGGGGAGCUGGAUCCCGAGCGGAUGGGAUCCGGGAUCCAGUACGGGGACGCAUCGCUCCGGCAGCUCCGGCAGCCCCGGGGGGCUCCGGCCCCGAGCCGGCAGAGCUGCGGCUGCUGAGACCCCCCCAAAAUAUUCCCAAAAAACAGGUGAGACCCUCCGGAAAUCCCAAAAAAUUCAGGACCAGGUGCCUCCGCUGGAUCUCGGGGACCCCCCCAGGAAUUUUUGGGGGGGUCUCUCCUCCCCCGCUGCCCCCAAAAACCCAAAUUUGGGGUCCAAAUCCGCUGCUUUUGGGCAAAAGAAUUCCCAGGAAUCCCUUGGAUUCCGGAGGGGGAUCCCCUCCCUCCCUCAGUGCGGUUUUUGGGGGUUUCCCCCAAAUUUCCCGGGUUUAUUUUUGCCUUUUUUUGCCAUUUUUUGAUGGUUUUGGCGUUUUUCAAAGCGGGAUUUUUUUCUGGGGGGUCCCCCCAGUUUUUUGGGAGGGGUCCCCCAAUGUUUUCGGGGGGGUGGGGGUCGCCCUUUCUCCCAAAUUUUUCCUCCGUCCCCCUCCCCCCCAAAUUGGGGGGGGGUCUU
This is an RNA transcript of Cyanistes caeruleus (blue tit), 1147 nucleotides long. It is a transcript of the gene named RAB4B, member RAS oncogene family, with no coding region annotated. The record is from RefSeq and is a predicted model, not a curated record. NCBI's taxonomy places the organism in Eukaryota, Metazoa, Chordata, Aves, Passeriformes, Paridae.